CGAUCAGCUCCCAACUUCUUUCUUUAAAUCUGAGAUUUCUCUUGUGUUUCAGGCUCUGGAUGUUAUCUUGACAGAACUAAAUAAACUAGCAGAGGAAGACAUGGAAGAUCUACUGGAAUAUGAAAGAGAGGAGUUCAGCUUGAUGUUCUCUGACUUGGAAAAAAGAAUUAGCCCUGCCUUCGUCUAUGAAGUUCAUAUGACCGCCUGGCCCCAGCUUGAAAUCAGAAAUGAGCAUUCAGUGCACCCAGGAAAUGAGAAUAUUGGAAC
This 267-nucleotide long non-coding RNA is filed under the name Gopherus agassizii (Agassiz's desert tortoise). RNAcentral's name for it is "lncRNA (ENSGAGG00000002135.1)". The record is from RNAcentral. Lineage: Eukaryota; Metazoa; Chordata; Testudines; Testudinidae.